This 253-nucleotide ribosomal RNA is filed under the name uncultured bacterium. RNAcentral's name for it is "partial 16S ribosomal RNA". It matches the Rfam family "Bacterial small subunit ribosomal RNA", at positions 524 to 776 of the family's 1533-position model. The record is from RNAcentral.
UACGGGGGGGGCAAGCGUUGUUCGGAAUUACUGGGCAUAAAGGGCUCGUAGGCGGCCAACUAAGUCAUACGUGAAAUCCCUCGGCUUAACCGGGGAACUGCGUCUGAUACUGGAUGGCUUGAGAUUGGGAGAGGGAUGCGGAAUUCCAGGUGUAGCGGUGAAAUGCGUAGAUAUCUGGAGGAACACCGGUGGCGAAGGCGGCAUCCUGGACCAACACUGACGCUGAGGAGCGAAAGCCAGGGGAGCAAACGGG